CAAAGAAAGGUCUUCCUAUCAUUGUGAAGCAGAAUUCACCAAGCGUUGGAUUGUUCACCCACUAAUAGGGAAUGUGAGCUGGGAUUAGACCGUCGUGAGACAGGUU
RNAcentral lists this non-coding RNA (106 nucleotides) under Oreochromis niloticus (Nile tilapia). Its description in RNAcentral is "Eukaryotic large subunit ribosomal RNA". It matches the Rfam family "Eukaryotic large subunit ribosomal RNA", at positions 2879 to 2984 of the family's 3401-position model. Lineage: Eukaryota; Metazoa; Chordata; Actinopteri; Cichliformes; Cichlidae. The record is from Rfam by way of RNAcentral.